UACGUAGGGGGCAAGCGUUGUCCGGAAUCAUUGGGCGUAAAGAGCGUGUAGGCGGUCCGGUAAGUCGGCUGUGAAAGUCCAGGGCUCAACCCUGGGAUGCCGGUCGAUACUGCCGGACUAGAGUUCGGAAGAGGCGAGUGGAAUUCCCGGUGUAGCGGUGAAAUGCGCAGAUAUCGGGAGGAACACCUAUGGCGAAGGCAGCUCGCUGGGACGUUACUGACGCUCAAACGCGAAAGCUAGGGGAGCGAACGGG
Molecule: ribosomal RNA, 253 nt
Filed under: uncultured bacterium
Lineage: Bacteria
Description: partial 16S ribosomal RNA
Rfam family: Bacterial small subunit ribosomal RNA
Source: RNAcentral